AACGAACGCUGGCGGCAUGCCUUACACAUGCAAGUCGAACGGCAGCACGGGAGCAAUCCUGGUGGCGAGUGGCGAACGGGUGAGUAAAGUAUCGGAACGUGCCCAGUCGUGGGGGAUAACGUAGCGAAAGUUACGCUAAUACCGCAUACGAUCUAUGGAUGAAAGCGGGGGAUCGCAGGACCUCGCGCGAUUGGAGCGGCCGAUAUCAGAUUAGGUAGUUGGUGGGGUAAAGGCUCACCAAGCCGACGAUCUGUAGCUGGUCUGAGAGGACGACCAGCCACACUGGGACUGAGACACGGCCCAGACUCCUACGGGAGGCAGCAGUGGGGAAUUUUGGACAAUGGGCGAAAGCCUGAUCCAGCCAUGCCGCGUGCAGGAUGGAGGCCUUCGGGUUGUAAACUGCUUUUGUACGGAACGAAAAGGUUUGGCCUAAUAAGCUGAGCUCAUGACGGUACCGUAAGAAUAAGCACCGGCUAACUACGUGCCAGCCGCCGCCGUAA
Molecule: ribosomal RNA, 500 nt
Filed under: uncultured bacterium
Lineage: Bacteria
Description: partial 16S ribosomal RNA
Rfam family: Bacterial small subunit ribosomal RNA
Source: RNAcentral